This 69-nucleotide transfer RNA is filed under the name Rattus norvegicus (Norway rat). It matches the Rfam family "tRNA". From Rfam's summary of the family: Transfer RNA (tRNA) molecules are approximately 80 nucleotides in length. Their secondary structure includes four short double-helical elements and three loops (D, anti-codon, and T loops). The record is from Rfam by way of RNAcentral. Lineage: Eukaryota; Metazoa; Chordata; Mammalia; Rodentia; Muridae.
GGGGAUCUAGCUCAGUGGUAGAGCGCUUGCCUAGGAAGCGCAAGGCCCUGGGUUCGGUCCCCAGCUCCA